This 397-nucleotide ribosomal RNA is filed under the name uncultured bacterium. Its description in RNAcentral is "partial 16S ribosomal RNA". It matches the Rfam family "Bacterial small subunit ribosomal RNA", at positions 523 to 918 of the family's 1533-position model. The record is from RNAcentral.
AUACGGAGGAUGCAAGCGUUAUCCGGAUUUACUGGGCGUAAAGGGCGUGUAGGCGGUUUAGCAAGUCAGAAGUGAAAUUCCCGGGCUUAACUUGGGCCCUGCUUAUGAAACUGCUUUACUUGAGUGCUGGCGAGGCUAGGGGAAUUCCUCGUGGAGCGGUAAAAUGCGCAGAUAUUAGGAGGAACACCGGUGGCGAAGGCGGCUAUCUGGACAGUAACUGACGCUGAGGCGCGAAAGCACGGGGAGCAAACAGGAUUAGAUACCCUGGUAGUCCGUGCCGUAAACGAUGAAUACUAGGUGUAGGGGGUAUCGACUCCCUCUGUGCCGCAGUUAACACAUUAAGUAUUCCACCUGGGGAGUACGGCCGCAAGGUUGAAACUCAAAUGAAUUGGCGGGG